This 356-nucleotide ribosomal RNA is filed under the name uncultured bacterium. Its description in RNAcentral is "bacterial SSU rRNA". It matches the Rfam family "Bacterial small subunit ribosomal RNA", at positions 9 to 346 of the family's 1533-position model. The record is from RNAcentral.
GAGUUUGAUCGUGGCUCAGGAUGAACGCUGGCGGCGUGCUUAACACAUGCAAGUCGAGCGAAGCACUUUACUUUGAAUUCUUCGGAAUGAAGAGUGAUUUGACUGAGCGGCGGACGGGUGAGUAACGCGUGGGCAACCUGCCUCAUACAGGGGGAUAACAGUUAGAAAUGACUGCUAAUACCGCAUAAGACCACAGUACCGCAUGGUAUGGUGGUAAAACUCCGGUGGUAUGAGAUGGGCCCCGCGUCUGAUUAGUUAGUUGGCGGGUAACGGCCCACCAAGACGACGAUCAGUAGCCGACCUGAGAGGGUGACCGGCCACAUUGGGACUGAGACACGGCCCAAACUCCUACGGGA